CUAACAUGUGUGCGAGUCAAUGGGUAAAACUAAACCUACAGGCGAAAUGAAAGUGACAGGGUCGCUACCUACUCAAUUUGGAGGUGGUGGUGGCUCGUGGGCUGAUCCUUCGGCUUGAUAUCCCCUAAUCCUUCGAUCGGUGAGACUUAAUAUGCGAGUGAGACCCUUUCCUCGUGUCUUCAAUAGGACGGGUCCACCGGCAUGGGGGGUUGGGUGAGUUUGAGAGCCCACUGCCCAUAGUUUGGGUUUGUGUAAUUAAUUUUGGGGGCGCAGGCCCGGGACUUGCUAAGACAGCGGCUGUGGCCCCGAGGGCGGAGUUGGAGGCGGAGGUCAGUAUUGGUCUCUUAGCUUGCUUCCGAGCCUGACAGGGUGUCGGCCGUGUCUACGUCGGUAAGUACCUUUAGCAGACAUGUUAGGACCCGAAAGAUGGUGAACUAUGCCUGGCCAGGAUGAAGCCAGAGGAAACUCUGGUGGAGGUCCGUAGCGAUUCUGACGUGCAAAUCGAUCGUCGGAGCUGGGUAUAGGGGCGAAAGACUAAUCGAACCAUCUAGUAGCUGGUUCCCCCCGAAGUUUCCCUUAGGAUAGCUGGGACUUAGAUGAUGAAUGUCAUCCGGUAAAGCGAAUGAUUAGAGGUCUUGGGGACGAAACGUCCUCAACCUAUUCUCAAACUUUAAAUGGGUGAGAUGCCGGGCUUGCUUGAACAGUGAAGCUCCGACGAUUCAUUAGAGUAUCUAGUGGGCCAUUUUUGGUAAGCAGAACUGGCGAUGUGGGAUGAACCAAACGUCGAGUUAAGGGGCCUAAAUGAAUGCUCAUAUAGAUCCCAUCGAAAGGUGUUGGUUGCUGAAGACAGUAGGACGGUGGCCAUGGAAGUUGGAAUCCGCUAAGGAGUGUGUAACAACUCACCUGCCGAAGCAACUAGCCCUUAAAAUGGCAUGGCGCUCAAGCAUUCUCCCGAUACUCGACCGCUGGGGCACUACAGGCCUCCUUAAUGGGCGAGGUCUUGAAGCCCCAGCGAGUAGGGGGCGCAGGGGUGAGCGUAGAAGGAUCUGGCGU
This 1053-nucleotide ribosomal RNA is filed under the name Paracalocaris sagamiensis. RNAcentral describes it as "eukaryotic LSU rRNA". It matches the Rfam family "Eukaryotic large subunit ribosomal RNA", at positions 675 to 1418 of the family's 3401-position model. The record is from RNAcentral. Lineage: Eukaryota; Metazoa; Arthropoda; Malacostraca; Decapoda; Axiidae.